AGUGAACGCUGGCGGUAGGCCUAACACAUGCAAGCCGAACGGCAGCACAGUAAGAGCUUGCUCUUACGGGUGGCGGGUGGCGGACGGGUGAGGAAUACAUCGGAAUCUACUUUUUCGUGGGGGAUAACGUAGGGAAACUUACGCUACUACCGCAUACGACCUACGGGUGAAAGCAGGGGAUCUUCGUACCUUGCGCGAUUGAAUGAGCCGAUGUCGGAUUAGCUAGUUGGCGGGGUAAAGGCCCACCCAGGCGACGAUCCGUAGCUGGUCUGAGAGGAUGAUCAGCCACACUGGAACUGAGACACGGUCCAGACUCCUACGGGAGGCAGCAGUGGGGAAUAUUGGACAAUGGGCGCAAGCCUGAUCCAGCCAUACCGCGUGGGUGAAGAAGGCCUUCGGGUUGUAAAGCCCUUUUGUUGGGAAAGAAAAGCAGCAGGUUAAUACCCCGCUGUUCUGACGGUACCCAAAGAAUAAGCACCGGCUAACUUCGUG
Molecule: ribosomal RNA, 492 nt
Filed under: uncultured bacterium
Lineage: Bacteria
Description: partial 16S ribosomal RNA
Rfam family: Bacterial small subunit ribosomal RNA
Source: RNAcentral